Molecule: non-coding RNA, 549 nt
Organism: Macaca mulatta (Rhesus monkey)
Lineage: Eukaryota; Metazoa; Chordata; Mammalia; Primates; Cercopithecidae
Source: RefSeq, a predicted model, not a curated record
GAAUGCUUCUGAUACUGUCCCUUCUAACUCGACACUCUAGAAUUCCAGAUUCUUUCUGUCAAUAAAUGGCCAGAACAUGGUGGUUAAUAAACACAAAAAGUUCAGAGGAACAAAUAGGGUGUUGGACCCAGGUGGGCAAUAGAAAGAUUUCAUUGCAAUUCAGUGGUGAACAGUGUGCUCGUUUCUCCAGCACUGAGGUAGACUUUUAUACGUCAGCCUUAUCUCCAGGAGUUUAUUUACAUCUCUGAGGACUUCCGUGACACCUGUUAUGAUGAACCUCUGGCUUCCAUUAAAAAAAAAAAAAAAUUCCACUACUUUGGGGCAUUGUUCAGUGUAGAAAGCAAGGUAGGGCAUUUUGGGAGCAGUACACAGACUGAUCUGAGUGUCGUCUCAUAGGGUAUCUAUUUGAGACCAUCAUGGAAAGUUUGGAGUGCUGGGCCACUUGUCAGCUCCAUGGAAGACUCCACAGCAUGUCCUGGUGGGCUCAUCAGGAUGCUCCUGGGGAUAAAGUUUCCAUCUGAGUGUGAAUUAAAAGUUCACUUUACCUGC